RNAcentral lists this long non-coding RNA (12932 nucleotides) under Aquilegia coerulea. RNAcentral's name for it is "long non-coding RNA (ACOE_LNC001116)". The record is from RNAcentral. Lineage: Eukaryota; Viridiplantae; Streptophyta; Magnoliopsida; Ranunculales; Ranunculaceae.
UUUUUUUUUUUUUUUUUGGUGGAAGUCAUCACUGUUGAGAAUGAAGAGAUACAGUAUUAUGAGUACAAUUUUUAUUACGAGUGUGGUACAGAUUCAUUAUUUAUAGGUCCAUACACCAGAUCAAUCCAGCCCCUUAAGUUUCGUUAGUUUAUAUUAGGCUCUGACAAUCAACAUCAAGAAUGGGAUUUCCUGUUUCUCAAGUCUCAACUCAAGAGUGUCAGAUUAAAAUGGGCUGGGCUUGGACUUCUCAGCUGUUAAGUUUUCUUAGUGGACCAAUCUAUUGAGAGACUCAAGCUAUGUGGUCUAGGUCUUCAUUCAUAGUGGGAUUGACAAGUAAAUGGGCCUGACUCAUGAGUCCAUAGAACAGAGUAUGUAUACUCUAGUCUUACCCACAGCACUGUACUCUGUAAUGUAGUGGAUAUAUAUUUAGUGAAUUUACCCGUUUUUCAAAUAUCAGAUAUAGGCAUAUACUUUACCAAAAAAAAAAAAAAAAAUAUAGGCAUAUACAAAAUUUCAACUCAUUGCACCAAAGUUACUCAUGGAAAUGGUUCUAGGACCUCAUUAAGCACCUAUAAAACACAAUUGGCCCAACUAAGGCCCGGUUUAUAAUAUUGGCCCUCAUUAAGCAUUUGUAAAAUAAGAAAAGACCCAUUUAACGUUGAUAUUGUAAAAACGGCCCUUUCACUAUCGAUAAUACCCUUCUGGUUUAUGCAAACAAAUGUUUGCAUUUUUAUGGUAUGUCAUUGUUUCGAGUAUGCAAACAAGUUUUUGCAUUUAAUCUUUAUGUGUUAUGACUGAUGCAAACAAGUCUUUACAUUUUCUAGUUUAUCUUGUUGUCGUUUCGAGUAUGCAAACAAUUCUUUGCAUUUAAUGUUUAUGUGUGUUGUAACUGAUGCAAACAAAUCUUUACAUUUUAUGGUUUAUGUUGUUGUUUGCAAGUAUGCAAACAAGUCUUUGCAUUUUAUAUUUGUAUUGUGACUGAUAUAAAUAAGUAUGUUUAUAUGUUUAUGAUAUGCAAACAAGUCUUUGCAUCAGUCGAAGGGUAAACUAGUCCAUAAGACACGGAAAUCAGCGGUUGGGCCUAUUUUACCAUUAGUUCCCUAACUGGUCCAAUCUUAUAUUUAAACAUCUUAAAGGGGUCCGUUUUUUUAAUCCCUGAAAGUUACUAGGCAUGAUUUUGUUUGCGAAUUGGAAAUUCGGCGAAUAACAAAAUUACCAAUUAUGGACUUUAGUAAUGAUAUUAGCCAGGAUGGACAUCUUUGGGUUAUAUGGCACAUAAAUAAACUACUAGUCUGAGUGCUUAUUGCAGACUAUGGCAACGCAUCGCGCAUGUUUGUAUUAUCAGCAUGCAUAUUGGGUAUUUGGGUGCCUAAAACAUUACAUGCUCCACCUGAAAUAUUGCGGUAGUGUUCUAAGUCCCACUAGGGUUAACUAACCCACACACAUUAGUGUUUUAUUUAUUUCACAAAUCCCAAACAAAAGCGGCAAAACAUCAUAAUAAUAAAAGGGUAAUUUCCCGAAUAAACACAGGUUUAUAACGUUUCUUCCCAAAUCAGCACAUUUGACUGCAAUCUUCCCCAACAAGCACAAUUCUCGGUUUGACUUGCUGAAUUUUUGUCUUUUAGCAUAUUUUGUUUCCUAUUAUACCCUUUAGCCUAUAAUCAUUUGUUUUAAUAGGUUUUCAAUAGGUUUUCAGUAGAUGUGACAUAUGAGAUAAUGACAUGACAGUAGAUUACAACCAUUGGAUCAUGAUAAUAAGUUACAGCCGUUGGAUAUAAUUUGCUAAUUCCUAUCCUCCACAAGUGAUGUUAUUUCCUCUACAAUUUGUAAUUUUAAACAAGCAUCUGCUACAGUAAACAACAGCCACUCAGCGCCACGUGUCAUUAACCGUUGGGUUUUAAUUGGGCGGGAAAAUCGAGCGGGAACAGGUAGAGUGAUACUUAACCUAGGGUUUUCACACCGAUUCAGAAUCCACAACCACCCACUCUCUCUUCUUCUUAAACCGAUUCUUCUUCCAUUAAACUGCUCAUAACUCUUCUAAUUUCUUUCCCAUCUUCCAUUUCUACACAAUCAUCUUCUAAUUUCUACACAAUCAUCUUCUAAUUUUCCAUCUUCCAUUCUAAUUUCUACAUAAUCAUGCCGAAAAAGAUUGAAGGCGAUGAAGUCAGUAGAAAAUUUAGCAUCACUGUGAGAUGCUCACCAUCUAAGUUUGAAGCCCACUAUCUAAACCCAAACGAAAGAUUGCCCCCCAAUGAGUUAGAAUCUUUUAAAAAUUCCCCUUUUGGGCAGUUUUUGAGUUUGGAGGGACAAGAAAAAAUCGCCAUGAUCACUUCAGUAGUUACAGAAAUUGUUUCAAAUAGGGUUGGUCGAUUGAAGUAUUCAAUUGGGGGUAGAGUGAUUGAGUUCAAAAUGACAGAUCUUGCUUUGAUUUUGGGGCCUUUGAAAUUUGGGCAUUUACCUGUUGAUUUUGUUGUUAGGAAGCAAACUGAAUAUAGUGCUUUCAGAUCGAAAUACUUCCAGAAUAACCUACACAUCAGAGAUUCUCAUAUCCUUGAUGCAAUUAAGGAAGCAAGAGAAGCCGAAGAUGCUCAUCCAGAUGAUGUCAAUAGGUUGAACAGGUUGUAUUUUCUUGCAAUUUUUCUGCUUGCUGACUCAUCAAAAACAAUUGAUGUAAGGUAUGUCGAUCUUGUUGAAAAUUUGGUCGAUUUUGAUGAUUUUCCAUGGGGUACUGCUGCAUUCAAAUUGCUUGAGAGCAAUUUAGAAGAUGUGUUUACCAAAAUUGUUGAUGGUGUACAAAACUAUUGUAUCAAUGGAUGUGUGUUUGCAUUCAUUAUUUGGGCAUAUUUGCAUCUCCCAGAUCUUGGUCCCAGAAAGAUUCCCAACUCUCCUUUUCCAAGGAUGUUAGGAUGGUAUGAUUUGCCCACUAGGAACAAAUCAAGGGACAAACUAUCUGAGAAAUUUCACCCCAAGAAAGGAUUCAUUAAUGUGGCCUAUCCACUGGAUAUCACUCUGCAAGAAAGAGCUGCAGCAAAUUUACAAGUGGUUGAAGAAGUAAGUCAUCUUUAUGUUGCUGUAUUUUCAAUAUCCUCUACUUUGUUUUCUUUUUCCUCUACAGAUAUAUACUUAUCCGUUACAUUUUAAUUCCAGUUUCAGGCUCUUUCACAAGCAGAAUAUGAAGAGUCUGCUUCUUCUAGGCCAGUUUCUAGAUUAGUUCGUCCAUCUCAGCACUCAUCUGCAACAACAAGUUCUGGAAAUUUUAUUACACUUGAAAGAAAUGCCCUUGAGGCAAUUCUCAAAGGAGUCUUUGAAAUGGUAUGUUGUUACUACUACUUUGAAAUUCUAUCUGAAACCAUGAAUAACUUAUCUUCUUUAUAGGUUUCUUACUUAUUACAUUGAAUACAUAUAUUCUAAAACCUCUAGUUGAUCAUUAUUAAUAUGUUUUGGUAUAUCGUCUACAUUGAUAUUAUUUUCCUCUAUGUUAUACAGUUCUAUCCGUUACCUUGUUUCUGUAUACUCUUUAUAAUUUGUUAACAUAAUAUACUCUUUAAACUUUACAUGUUGUUGAAUUUGAAUGAAGUCAUAUACAAAAACUUUAAACCUUGAAAUGUUGAAACCUUGAAACCUCUAUAAUUUGAAUGUUAACAUAAUAUAUCCUUUAAAUAUUUGAAUGAUGUUUUCUAUAAUGUUGGGUUUAUCCUCUACAAUCUUAUUGCAUUAUUUUUGAAGGGUCGUGAGGCAGGGAUGGUUUCUGACAAAAUCAGUGAUGCUGAUGUGGCUGUUAAAGGUGUGUUUGCACAGAUUGGUAAGGGGGCAUCAAAGAAGACAAGUAAAAGUAAGAAGAAGAUAAGUUCCCCCUCAAAGCCAACUCUCAAACCCAAAUCAGUCAAAAAGACCAAUCCUUUGCCAAGUCCUCCAAAAAGGGCAACCAGAUCAAGUACUGCAUCCCAAGUUUCACCAACAGUUUCAACAAGGAAACAAACAAUUCCAUCCAAGAAAACCAAUGUUUCACCCAAGAAACCCAUUGUACCAACCAAGAAAGUUAGUGCUCCCCCCAAACCUAUUGGGAGGGUGAAGAUACCUCCCAAGCAGAAACCCCCUCAAGCCACAACAGUGAGUGAUUCCCCACAACCCAAAAUUAUUGAUUAUAAGAAGAUGGAGGAAGAGCCUAUACCAGCACAGACAGCAGUUAGAACCACCAGGAGUAAAAGCUCUUUGUCUUCUAAUUAUGAGGUAAAAAGAAGGGAACCUCAACCCCCAAAAUCUGAAGGGGAUAAGGGGAUAAAGAGGAAAAGAUCAGAGGAGGGGGAGAAGGAUAACAAGAAGAAGAAGAAAAAUUCAAAGAAGGGGGAAUCUGAAAAAGUGGAGAAGCGUAAAAAGAAGAUGUCCAUUGUGGAUAUGGGGAAGCAGGAUGAAGAUAAGGCAGCUCCACAGAAUGAUGAGAUAGAAGAGGGUAAAAAUACAGUAGGGGGGAGUGAUGAUGACAUGUUACCAUUAGACCGACAUUUUCCCGUGUUUGAUUUUAAUCUUGAAGAACAAAAUGACCAACAGGCGGGAGAGAAACAGAUAGAGAAAGAAGAGAAAAAAAGGAAGAGAGCAGAGAUGUUGUUUCCUAUUAGAAGGCAUCAACCUGAAAGGAAGGUUAAAGGUGAUGCCUUUGAUCUUAGUUGGAGGAAAGAAUUAAGAAAGAGAAGGGAGGCAAAGAAGCUGAAGGAAAAAAAGGCAAGGAAGAUACAGUCAGAUGAUGAUGAAGUCCCCAGCAGUAAGAAAGUAAGAAAGUUGUCUUUCUGGAGUGAUGAUCAUUCAUCAGAUGACCAGGAGUCCAUUGUGGAUGUAUUGAAUAACCUGAGAGGUGUACCUGAUCCUCUUGCCAAGGCAAUGUCAAAACUCCAAGGUCUUUCUGUACUGAUGGGAGAGAAAGCUGAAGUGAAUGAAGAAUGUAAACCUAAUGAUUCAAGUACAAAGGAUGGCGAUCCUUCUGUAUCCGCUACAGAAGAUACAUUGUCUGCUAGAAAGGAGGAUCCAUCCGCUACACCGACAAAGGUAACAACAGAUGAAACCGAGACGGCUACAACUGAGGUUUCAUCCGCUACAUUGUCUGGUGCAAAGGCUAAAAGCAUUGAGGCAUCUUCUACAACUGUUGAAUCUGCUGAUAGUGAAGAAGAAGAUGAUGAUAAGCAGGAUGAUGAUUCUGAUGAUGAUAAAAAAGAUGAUGGUAAGGAGGACGAUGAUAAGCAGGAUGAGGAUGAAAAAGAUGAUGGUAGGGAGGAUGAUGAUAAGAAGAAUGAUGAUAAGAAUGAUGAUGAUAAGAAUGAUGAUGAUAAGAAUGAUGAUGAUGAUGACAAUGGUGGAUGUGAUCAUCAUACUGAUGUGGUGGUUAAUAGAGAAGAUGUACCUCAACAGUAUAGACUUGAAACACCUACUGCAUCAGAUAUUGAGGAGUCAUCAGGCAGGAAGAGUGUUCUCAUUCUUGGUGUAGAGGAAUCUGAUGAUGAUGAGAAGGAUACAAAAUUUGACCUGCAAGCAUUAAGAGUGGCAAGGAGGGAAAGGGAAGCCAAAACUUAUCAAAACAUGGAGGCUGGUGAACUUUCUUUGGGCCUUAGGUGUAAUGCAAGGAUGUCAGAGAUAAUGAAAGAACCAUUCUUCAGUAGACAAGUGGAAGAGGAUGAUACAAAACUUUGUCACUACUUUUGGAGUUUGGCUUCUGACCCAAAGUGGAGUAGAGUCCCCAUGAGAAGUUAUGGUUUUCUGGCUUCAUGCUUAGUGAGUGCCUACAACACACUCUACAAAGGUAAUUGGCUUAAUGAUGAGAUUAUUGACAUCUAUCUCAGGCUGCUCAUUCGUUGGUAUGGUACCAUGAGGCCAUAUUACUUUAGGGAUGAAGAUCAAUAUGCUAUUGUUUCAACAAUAUAUCUACAUGUAAGUACCUUGUUCCCUUAUUCUACCUAGUAAUUAUAACCUUCAAUUCUGAGCUGUUUGAAGAAUUAUUUUUCCUUUUUGUAGACCAAAAUCAAGUGUGAUGUGAUGCCUGAAUACGACAAACUGAUGAAAGAUAAGAGUUUUGCCAAAAUGAAUCCUCGGGAAAGAGUGACAUCUGGGCGUUUCCAAAUUUCAUCAGGCUGUAGUUCAAUUGUUGAUCCCUGGGUAGGUCUCAAAAAUCAAGUUCACCCUGUGAAAGCAAAGGCACUUCUCAUCCUAUUACAGGUAUAUUUCAUACUUUCCUCCACUACCUCUACAUGUCAUAAUUUAUCCUCUAUUUUAUUAUUUCUAUUUGCCACUAUUGAUAUGUAUAUAUGUGUUAUUUGUAGGUGAAUGAUAACCACUGGAUUCUGCUUUCUUUCAAUUUUAGUGAGAAAAUUGUUAGAAUCUAUGAUUCAUUGGGAAUGACAAGGGGUAUACCUGAAUUGAGAAAUAUGGAAAAGUUUUUGCCAUAUGUUGUUUUUGCUGCUGAUCCAUCACAGGUUCAACUCAAACUGGAUAUGAAGUGGAAGCGUGAGUAUGUUAAGUGUGCUGAACAACCAGAUGGUUGUAGCUGUGGAUUAUUCCUCUUUGCCUUCGUCGAAUGCGUGCUUCGAGGAAUACCACCUCAGUUCGAUGCAGAUCCUCUUCAGAUGCGCUAUCGUAUUGCCAGAGACCUAAUUGAUAUAGGGGAACCUCCCUCCUCCAAAAACAAGAGCAAAGUUUAGUUAUUUGUUGUUUGUAUUGUAUGCUAUACAUUUUAUUUGGUUGUUUGAAGACAUGUUUAUAUGGUUGUUUAUGAACCCAAUGUUUUUUAUGUGGUUGUUUAUGAAUCUAUGUUCAUGGUUGUGAAUGAUACAUUCUGUUCUUAUUUGGUUUAUAGGUGAACCUAUAUUGUUCCUGUUCUUUAUGUUUGAAUGGUAGAGGAUACACAAAUAUAUGGUAGCCGUUAGGUAGUACAAAGAUAGAGGACAACACUGCAAUGCACAGUAGACAAUCUAUGCAAAAAACCUAACAACCAAAUAAGGUAACACUCAAGUGUCACUGAUAAAACAUACGAUAACAAUAGUGUUUUCCUGUCAAAAAUAGGUUGGAUUUGAAGCCCCUACCCUUAUAUAACAUGAAAAUCAAUACAAAAUAAAGUCAACGGAUAACAGGCAAUAUGUAGAGGAUCUAAACAUGUAUGUGGAAGAUAAAUUCCCAAAAAAGUACAAAACCCAUUUCAGUACUUAGAUUGUAGCUGGAACAGGGCUAAGUGGUGGCCCUUCACCAAAUAGGGUGUGACUGAAGAGUUGAUAGUCAUCUAUACAUUCAAGACAAGUUGAUUUGUUAUGACCUCUGACUCUACACAUUGAACAUCGCCUACUCUGGACAGGGACACCCUCAGCUUUACCUCUCUUCCUGGCUGUUUUAGGACGCCCUGCCUUUGAAGUUUUUAGUGGUGGAAGAAUUCUUCUUCUUUGUCUGUCGGUUGGCCAUUCUUCCUUCGCCCUUGUGGGUGUCCAUUCUUCUCUAUAAGUUUCUAUGUAUGUUUCCUUCAAGUAGUACACCUCAACAAAUUUGUAUGGAUCAAAUCCAACUUCCUUUAUAGCUGCCAUGGCAUGCUCACAUGGUAUCCCCAUGGUUUGAAACCAUUUGCAUGUACAUGUUCUUUUGUUGAGGUCAACCACACAUGACCUUUUAAGCCCUCUAACAGACCAAAUACCUGCUGAAGCUCUUUCAAGUGUGCACUUUCUUGCAACUGCGGCAUUGUGCACUAUUUGCUCUUGACACCAUGUUGUGACAGGUGAAUUGAACUUCAAAGAAUCAUUGCGAUAAUCUCGAUAAUGCCUAAUUACAUUAUCUCGUAUCAUUGAAACAAUGGUAGUAACUGGCAUCAUUCUUUCUCCAAUGAUCAUUUUGUUCCAGCUCUCCACAUGAUUUGUUGUCACAAUUCCAUAUCUGCAAAAUCAAUGUAAAUGAUAGAAACCUUAUAGUACCGGAUAGGAGUUGUAUUGUAGCGUACACAGAAAUAUGUUAGCAAACUUACCUGGAUUUCUCUUGGAAAGCACUUGCCCACUUUUCUAAAGGCCCAACAUCCAUAAGUUUUUCAUGUGCUUUGGAGGAUAGGACCCAUAUUCCUAGCAUAUUUCCCCAAAAUUCUUGUUGGUUGAGGGUUUUUGCUGAUUCUUGCACCAAGAACUUGAUUUUCUUGUGACCAAACUUGCCACUCAUGUGAUAGGAACAGUACAUAUGGACAGCAUUUGGCAGAAUUUUAGGAACACCUUGGAUGAUGCUUUUGUGUCUAUCAGAUAACAAAAUGAACUGGUGAUCUACACCAACCACAUGGUCCCUUAGUUUGGUAAAAAACCAAUCCCAAGAAUCAUUUUUCUCUUUCAUUACAACUGCGAAAGCAAGGGGGAACACAUGGUUGUUGCCAUCGACUGCAAUAGCACUUAGAAUUGUUCCAGGGUACCUCCCUUUAAGGAAAGUUCCAUCAACAAUGACUACAGGACGCAAGUUCUUCUUGUAGACCCUAACUGAUAUACCAUAUGUCCAAAAGAAACAUUCAAAACGAUCACCUGGUCCAGUUAGAAUAUCAGUCACAGCAUCUGGAUCAACACUCAUGAGCUCAUGACUAUAUGUCUCAAGCAACUGAUAUGAGUAGCUGUAGCUUCCUCUUAUCUGCAACAAAGAAUAGAUGUGAAAAACUAUACUCUACAUAGAAAACAAUCUAGCCGAUACUAGUGCCUAUGGUAGCGACUACAGAAACAAAGUAGAAGAUGCUAUACCUUCAUCAAUGCUUUCUCUUUAGCAAACCAUGCAACUUUGUAUGAAACUGUGGUCUCAUAGUCUUCCUUGACCAUCUUUACAAGUGCUUUAGGCUUUAAGUUUGGGUUAUCCCUUAACUUUCUCAUUAAUACUCUAGAAACCCAAUCACUAUUUGCUUGGGGAUUUGUUCCUCCAACUCUAAAAUUACCACAAAAGUGGUCAUCAUUCAUUCUAGAAAUCUUCCAAGUGUUAUCCAUAUUUCGUGUUGCGUAGACUCUCCAUGGACAACCAUCUGCUUUACAUUUCCAAAUCAACCUUUUUGUGUUGGUGCUUUGCCUGCGUAUAUCUUUUUCAGUCUUAAUCGCGUAGGUUUGGAGGUCCCUUUCAAGAUCAUCUCGACUUAAAUAUACUAUUCCACAUGCAGGUCUAACAUAAUCAUUGUGAGAAGGCUCUGUAUGGGGAGCACAACCAACAUUUACCCUAGAUUUUGCAAUGUACGCAGAAAAGAUUUUGUCUAAUUCACGUUUCACUUCAUCGUUAUCGCGGUUUUCCGUAACUCUUACAUUCUUCUGGAGUGGCACAUUGUUGGGAAAUGGUACAUCUGUAUCAGGAGGUACAGUGGUCGGAGCUGGAGGGUUGUCUUGAAGUGGCACAGUGGUAGGAGUUGGAGGGUUGUCUUGUAGCGGCGCAGUGUUAUGUUGUGGUUGAUUGUUGACGUAAUCCCCUACUCGAGCGGAACGAUCCGCUAGAUUGCACCUUAUAUCCCCUGCAUUAGCAUUUCUAUCCGUUACCACAUCUUCGCUAUGCACGGUUUCUUGUGUCGAUAGAUCACCGAACAUUGGGUAGCUGUCAUUGUACAUUUCGUUCUCAAAUUCUUGAUCUUGGGUGUCAAGAAUUGGUGUUUUCAUCUCACCAAUGCCUUCAGAUGAAGAUUGGAUGACACCAUCAUCUUCAUUAUGAGAUGGAGGAGGUGGUGUAGGACCAAACAUUGGCUGGCUGUCAGUAUACAUCUCAGAUUCAAACUCAUCUUCAAGUCUAUCGAAUGAAUUAUAAGAGUAAUCACUAUUUGAGUCGAACACAUCCUCUUCUGUAUCCCAUUGGCCUUCCUCACAUUCACCCUCACUGUCAUCAUCCAGUACUUCUUCUUGGCUUCUCUCUAUCUCUGGAUCUAAUCUUUCUUCUACACUUUCCAAUUCAUCUGAAUCCCCAAAACCAUUAUCCCUACGCAUAUCAGAUAGAAUCCAUGCUAUGUCUUCAAGAUUAUCAAAUCUAGCCGAUUUUGGUACACAUAUAGGCGAUCCAGUUGUUGUUCUAGCCGAUAAGGGAGUCAAGUUCAUUGGAGGUUGAGGAAUGUAAACAUCAUCUCUCACUUGAACAUUAGGGGGAGGGGUUUCCAAGAAUAAAGGGUCAUUUGAGUGCCCCUUUCCCUUUACAGUCACUUCUGGGUCUUGAGAAGGAGUUUCCAAUCUAUAUUCAUCAGGAACAUGGAAAGGUUUUGUUGGUGUACAAAAAGAAGAGUAGUCUGGUUUCCUACCCAAGCCUAGAUUAUUGACAACAGGUUCAGGGAAAAGUUUUCUCUUCAAAAAUUGACUAGUUUUGGGAUUGACAACAGGUUCAGGGAAAAAUUUUCUCUUCAAAGAUUGACUAGUUUUGGAAUCCCCCUUGGGCAGCUCUCUUGGUAUCUCACUCACUUGGCUUGAGGCUUCAUUAGUCUCUGACUGUAUCAUAACUGGUGUUAAAUGAUCAAACACCCAAAUAGAAAUCACCAUUGCAGCUGAAUUUGUAAUGUAUGCAAUCAUUGCCAUGUAAUGAUCUUCGCAUUCAACCUUAGUUGGAUUAUUGUUGAUUACAGCUCGCAAUGACCAAGUUGUUCUUGGUGCCUUACAUAAGGAUUCAACCAAUUCCAAGAAGUCUCCGUAGGAUGUCUUGUUAUUAGCGAUCCUUAUUUUUGACUCACCAUGUACAUAUGCAAUCUCAACUUCUUCAACUGUAACAACCAAUUGCCCACCAUGUUGGAAUAUGAUAUUAAAUGUGUUCUCUGCAUAACAUCAAUUAAAAUGGGUUUAAUAUCACAUCUCUAUAAACGAGUGUACUGAAGGUUUCGGCUACAAUAUCAGUUUUAACGGUUACAGAUGACAGUUUAUCGUCUAUAAAUUUAAGAAUGUAUGUCAAAGUGAUAAUCAGUACCACAUGAUAAACCCACUUUUAGAUCUUCUAAUCAUUAGAUAAAAAACUUCAAAACCCCCCAUAAAAACAGAGACAAAGAGCCAUACACGGUAGACACUAGUGAUUUAAAGCUUGACAACAACAUAUUAGAAACCCAUAAACCAAAUUCUAUGGUUUUCAUACCCCCAACCCAAACAUCAACUAGAGUUGAAACCCCACCCACAAUUGAAUGCUUGCAUUUAAGCUGGUGGGUGUGUGUGUGUGAGUGAAUACUUUAAUGCCACUGAGAUUGAAACCUAAAACAGACAACUUUAAUACCAAUGAUUGGUAUUGAUGCCACUGAAAUCAAACCCCCCAUUACCAUUAUAAAUGAACAACCUUCAAACCUCAAAACUUACCAGGAAUCUGAACGUUCAUAACUUGCUUGCCCUUAUUGUUUCCUUUUUUUCCCAUGAUGAACAUAUUACCGAUGAAAACCCCAACGUCAAAAAAAAAAAAUCGAAGCUUUACGACAAAGAGAUUGUGAUCUGAUGAAAAGAGGUUAUCUUCUUGUUCAUUCUCUGCGAUGAACAAAGAAGGUGAAGAAGAAGAAGAACAGAGAAAGUAGUUUUGGUUAACUUCUCUUUUAAGGUAAGACAGUUGUUUUUGUCUUUUCUGGGUGGAGGAUAGAGUAGUGUGUUGUGGAGGAUUGAGAAUGCUGGUUUCUGUGUUAUUUCAUCCAACGGUGGUAAUCAAAGAUGCUUUUUCAUCUAACGGCGAGAGUUUAGUUUGCUGAAUUGAAUGAGGAGAGAGAAAAAUCAGACAAACAGCAGAUAUGAUGUGACGGCUUAAAGCUGUCAUAAGGGUAGAAAUGUCCAAUUAAAAAGUCAAACCGAGAAUUGUGCUUGUUGGGGAAGAUUGCAGUCAAAUGUGCUGAUUUGGGAAGCUGUGCUUAUUCGGGAAAUUACCCAUAAUAAAAUUUAUAACUCUAAUUUAAUUUCUAAAUCACUCCCAAAAUCACAAUAUACCGAUUCGACUCAAUAAUUAGCUGACAUUAUUUGCAUUGGAAGGGGUUUUAUCGGUCUUCUCUAACGCCUCCGUAGUGGGAAAAGCUGAUAGAGUACUGAUAUUUGUUUGCUAUGUAUGAAUUCAUCACAACCCGAGUACAUACCUAUAUUUGUUUUCUAUGUAUGAAUUCGUCACAACCCAUAGGUAGUCAGGGUGGGAAAAGUAUAUUUAGGGAUAUCAGAGACAUGGGGUUCAAUUCUCGGGUAUCAUUAUGGAGUUACUAAUCUCAUUAAAAACAUGUUCGCCAUAAUAUUUUUGGCUAAUAGAAAAAUAAAAUAAAAUAAAUUGUGGAUUAUCUUGUUUGCACAAACGAAAAGACCAACAUAACAAGAGUCUUAGUAUUUGAGCGUGAGCUCCGAAUUUAUUUUGGCCACAAGUUCUUUCUCAAACUAAUUAUAUUAUUCAUGAUAUUUUUGGACAUACGUCACCACUUUUUAGGGUUAUAUUUGCACAAUGUCACUACUUCUUUUUUAUUUGCGUUUAGUCACCAUUUUGUCUUAGCCUCGUUAGUUGACUGAGUCAAAUAUACGUUAACUGAGAUCGAGCUUAAAAAAAUUAAGAAAUUGAAGAACAACGAAACGAAGAGAAAAGAGAGAAAAAACCUAAGUCUAUGUUGUAUGAUAAUAGGUUGACUAUGUCAAAGUUGAGUUGACCGUUAGAAUUAAUGAAGCUGAGAUGGAUGAUGACGAAACACAAAUAAAAAAUAAAGUGGUGACGCUGAGCAAAUUUGCUCUCAAAAAGUGGUGACGAAACAAAAUUUUUCUCUUUUUUCAUUUAUCGUUACAAACAGCAAACAGAGCUUAAAAUAACACACUGUGCAUGGGGAUGAAUGAAAUAGCUUACGAUAGAGUACAAGUAAUUAAUCCUAAUGAACAAAUACACAGAUCAAGACUAGUGAAAGAGAGCUUCACUAUUCCAAUACAAUCAACAAUAUAGGAGUAACUAAAAUACACAAGAAAUGACUAACAGCUAGCUCACACACAGAGAGAUCGAAGAACAAUAUGCAUGAUUAG